AUUGAACGCUGGCGGCAGGCCUAACACAUGCAAGUCGAGCGGAGCGGCGGACGGGUGAGUAAUGCCUAGGAAUCUGCCUGGUAGUGGGGGAUAACGUCCGGAAACGGGCGCUAAUACCGCAUACUAUCAGAUGAGCCUAGGUCGGAUUAGCUAGGUGGUGGGGUAAAGGCCUACCAAGGCGACGAUCCGUAACUGGUCUGAGAGGAUGAUCAGUCACAACUGAACUGAGACAAGGUCCAGACGCCUACGGGAGGGAGCCGGGGGGAAUAUUUGGACAAGGGCGAAAGCCCGAAUCCGCCAUGCCGGGUGAGGGAAGAAGGUUUUUGGAUUUGAAAAGCAUUUAAGUUGGGAGGCGUUACCAACAGAAUAAGCACCGGCUAACUUCGUGCCAGCAGCCGCGGUAAUAC
RNAcentral lists this ribosomal RNA (407 nucleotides) under uncultured bacterium. Its description in RNAcentral is "partial 16S ribosomal RNA". It matches the Rfam family "Bacterial small subunit ribosomal RNA", at positions 30 to 526 of the family's 1533-position model. The record is from RNAcentral.